Molecule: small nuclear RNA, 27 nt
Filed under: Arabidopsis thaliana (thale cress)
Lineage: Eukaryota; Viridiplantae; Streptophyta; Magnoliopsida; Brassicales; Brassicaceae
Description: snRNA_02068
Source: RNAcentral
AUAUAUUAAUGAAUAAAACUCUCAAGA